GAUGAACGCUGGCGGCGUGCCUAAUACAUGCAAGUCGAGCGAACAGACGAGGAGCUUGCUCCUCUGACGUUAGCGGCGGACGGGUGAGUAACACGUGGAUAACCUACCUAUAAGACUGGGAUAACUUCGGGAAACCGGAGCUAAUACCGGAUAAUAUAUUGAACCGCAUGGUUCAAUAGUGAAAGACGGUUUUGCUGUCACUUAUAGAUGGAUCCGCGCCGCAUUAGCUAGUUGGUAAGGUAACGGCUUACCAAGGCAACGAUGCGUAGCCGACCUGAGAGGGUGAUAGGCCACACUGGAACGGAGACACGGUCCAGACUCCUACGGGAGGCAGCAGUAGGGAAUCUUCCGCAAUGGGCGAAAGCUUGACGGAGCAACGCCGCGUGAGUGAUGAAGGUCUUCGGAUCGUAAAACUCUGUUAUUAGGGAAGAACAAAUGUGUAAGUAACUAUGCACGUCUUGACGGUACCUAAUCAGAAAGCCACGGCUAACUACGUG
This 497-nucleotide ribosomal RNA is filed under the name uncultured bacterium. Its description in RNAcentral is "partial 16S ribosomal RNA". It matches the Rfam family "Bacterial small subunit ribosomal RNA", at positions 28 to 507 of the family's 1533-position model. The record is from RNAcentral.